AUACAGAGGGUGCGAGCGUUAAUCGGAUUUACUGGGCGUAAAGCGCGCGUAGGUGGCUAAUUAAGUCAAAUGUGAAAUCCCCGAGCUUAACUUGGGAAUUGCAUUCGAUACUGGUUGGCUAGAGUAUGGGAGAGGAUGGUAGAAUUCAAGGUGUAGCGGUGAAAUGCGUAGAGAUCUGGAGGAAUACCGAUGGCGAAGGCAGCCAUCUGGCCUAAUACUGACACUGAGGUGCGAAAGCAUGGGGAGCAAACAGGAUUAGAUACCCUGGUAGUCCAUGCCGUAAACGAUGUCUACUAGCCGUUGGGGGAUUUGAUCCUUUAGUGGCGCAGCUAACGCGAUAAGUAGACCGCCUGGGGAGUACGGUCGCAAGACUAAAACUCAAAUGAAUUGACGGGG
Molecule: ribosomal RNA, 396 nt
Filed under: uncultured bacterium
Lineage: Bacteria
Description: partial 16S ribosomal RNA
Rfam family: Bacterial small subunit ribosomal RNA
Source: RNAcentral